Pelmatolapia mariae (spotted tilapia) is the source of this 402-nucleotide long non-coding RNA. RefSeq lists it as uncharacterized. The record is from RefSeq and is a predicted model, not a curated record. Lineage: Eukaryota; Metazoa; Chordata; Actinopteri; Cichliformes; Cichlidae. The transcript has 3 exons.
GUGGUAUAUAAUUGCUCGAAACUCAUCUGUAAUUGACAGAUUUAAAGAGGGUCUUUCAGCACUUAAUUUCCUGAGUGCACUCCAGCAACACCCUACUUUGCUUUCCCCGGUCCUGUGUCACAUGGAAAAGAAACUCACAGCUCUUGAACUUGAGAGACUUUUCAAACCUGACUUCAGCCCAUCUGGAAGUAACAGGAGACAUCUGGAGAGUCAAACUGUGGGCUACUGGUCAGACUAUCUGCUUGACUGUGAAGAAUCACAAACUGCUGUGUCGGUGGGCGAUGUUCUGAUGUUUGCAACUGGGCUAACAUCACUGCCCCCUUCUGGAUUAGAUCCACUACCAAGCCUACAGUUCCUGGAUGACUCUUUAUUCCCGAUGGUAAAUACAUGCUUAAACUUAUU